This 451-nucleotide ribosomal RNA is filed under the name uncultured bacterium. RNAcentral describes it as "partial 16S ribosomal RNA". It matches the Rfam family "Bacterial small subunit ribosomal RNA", at positions 354 to 796 of the family's 1533-position model. The record is from RNAcentral.
GUGGGGAAUAUUGGACAAUGGGGGGAACCCUGAUCCAGCCAUGCCGCGUGUGUGAAGAAGGCCUUUUGGUUGUAAAGCACUUUAAGCGAGGAGGAGGCUUACCUGGUUAAUACCUGGGAUAAGUGGACGUUACUCGCAGAAUAAGCACCGGCUAACUCUGUGCCAGCAGCCGCGGUAAUACAGAGGGUGCGAGCGUUAAUCGGAUUUACUGGGCGUAAAGCGCGCGUAGGUGGUUAAUUAAGUCAAAUGUGAAAUCCCCGAGCUUAACUUGGGAAUUGCAUUCGAUACUGGUUAGCUAGAGUAUGGGAGAGGAUGGUAGAAUUCCAGGUGUAGCGGUGAAAUGCGUAGAGAUCUGGAGGAAUACCGAUGGCGAAGGCAGCCAUCUGGCCUAAUACUGACACUGAGGUGCGAAAGCAUGGGGAGCAAACAGGAUUAGAAACCCGUGUAGUCC